Long non-coding RNA from Oreochromis aureus, 338 nucleotides. Lineage: Eukaryota; Metazoa; Chordata; Actinopteri; Cichliformes; Cichlidae. The record is from Ensembl.
AACGAGCUGAGUCUAGACAGCCGACUUUACUUUACCUGCGCUACCUGUUGUAGUGUCUGGAAGCAACAACUAUGAGAGAUAUAAACCAAAAACCGAAUACAUCCGCUGACUGGCUGAACCCUAUAGCAUAAGCCUUCAUGGGGACCCGAUCUGGGCAGUGUCAAACUGCUCUGGCCAGGUGGACCUGUCCUUACACAGAUACAGAACCCGCAUACAGAUCUGGCACAAAGUCAAACAGGCACAUAUAAGGCAAGGAGUCUUUUAAAGGUCAGCUCCAUUGCAUCUCUUAGAGAGGGCAUGGUGUACCCUUAGCCAAAAUGCCUGGCAAGAAAGACCCC